AGGAAUCCAACAUUCCCUGUGGAUGGAGAGAGGGAUUGGGAGCAUCCCUGGAGCAGGGAAUGAGGAAUCCAACAUUCCCUGUGCAUGGAGAGAGGGAUUGGGAACAUCCCUGGAGCAGGGAAUGAGGAAUCCAACAUUCCUUGGUCAUGGAAUAUUUCCCUGACCCGGCAAGGAAAAGCCAAGGAUUUUUUGGGCUCCAACGGCUCCGUUUCCCUCCCUUUCCCCGCCCGUUGUAGAACGAACGGAAUUUGGGAGCAGAAAAUUCCCUCGCCCAAGCACCGGGCACUUGAAAGCCUCCGGAACAGCCGGGAAAUCGGGAGAUGUCGGUGGGAAAAGACUUCUCACGCCAUCACCUUUUCUUCCAAGGAAAACAGGAACCAACCUGGGGACAAGGAGAUCAUUCCCAGGCAGGGCCGGUUUUCCCAAUCCUUGCCUUUUUUUGGGAAGUCCCUGCCUGAUUUGGGCUCUCCGGAAGAGCUGGAGCAAGCCCGGGAAGGUUUUGGGGAUGGAGGGGGCAUUUCCCAACCCAAAUUUUUCUUCCUGUUCAUUCUCCCUUUGUUUUUCCAUCUAUUUAUUCUUUCUUUGGGAAUCUUUGCCAUGGCUCGGGCACAGCCGGAGCCAUCCCAAGGAGCGUUAUCCCAGGAGGAGCCGUCCUUAUCAGCGUUAUCCCGAUCCUUAUCAGCAUUAGCCCGGCCUUAUCUGCAUUAUCCCGGUCCUUAUCAGCUUUAUCCUGAGUGGAGCUGGCCUUAUCAGUGUUAUCCUGGUCCUUAUCAGCGUUAUCCCGGGAGACGCUGGAUUAUCAACGUUUUCCCGGUUCCUUAUCAGCGUUUUCCCGGUUCCUUAUCAGCGUUUUCCCGGUCCUAAUCAGCGUUAUCCCGAGUGGAACUGUCCCAGGGAUCGUUAUCCCGGGAGGAGCCGGCCCUAUCAGCGUUUUCCCGCUCCUUAUCAGCAUUUUCCCAGUCCUUAUCAGCGUUAUCCCGGGAGGAGCCAGCAUUUUCCCAGUCCUUAUCAGCAUUUCCCCGCUCCUUAUCAGUGUUUUCCCGCUCCUUAUCACCCCGGCCUAGGGGCUGCCGGAGCCGCCUCUUUCCAUCCCGGUUUGGGGCCGUGAAGAGCAAAACCGGGAGAGAUCCAAUCCCUCCAAUCCCGUUUUCUUUCCCCCCUUCCCUUGAUUAAAAUCCCACCCUCGUCCUGCAGUGUCGCUUUCUGAAUUCCCAAAUCCCUUUUUUCCCGCGUUCCCAACUUUGUGGGGCCGGUUAUUCCCGGUCUCCCAUCCUCGGGAAUACCAAACCGAUUUGCAACUCCAAAGGGAUCCUUCCGAAAGAGACGGAGCGGGAUCAGAGCUGCUCCGAAUCGGGAGAUUCCCGAUCCAUGCGUGGAUAAUCGGAGGCUGGAACAGAUAGUGGAGGCGCGCUUGGAAGCGUUGUAUCCAUGGAAAGGAGGGAAUGCUCGCUUCCAGGGGGGUUCCUUGGAGCGGGAAGGCAGCCAGGGGCUGGGAGAAGGGAAAAGUGGAGCCGGAAUCACCCCAGAAGGGAAAUUUCCCCGGAGCGGGAUCUUUAAACUGCUCCAUGAGGGAAUUUCUCCCAUCCUCAUGGGAUGGAUGAGGUGGGAUGAGGCUGCCGGAGGGGAGGGAUGGAUCCCUUGACUGGAAAGCGGGAAUGCUGCCGGGGGGAAGGUGGAAAUCUGCUGGAAAGGCAGGAUGGGGCUUCCGGAUGGUGGGAUGGGAUAACGGUCCCGACUGGAAAGGUGGGAUGUUUCCAGCUGGAAAGGUGGGAUAAUGCUCCCGACUGGAAAGGCCGGAUGUUUCCAGUUGGUGGGGUGGGAUAACGGUCCCGACUGGAAAGGCGGGAUGCUUCCAGCUGGAAAGGUGGGAUGGGAUGAUGCUGCCUGGAAAGGCGGGAUGCUUCCAGCUGGAAAGGUGGGAUGACGUUUCCAGCCAGGGAGGUGGGAAGUCACAGACCGGAAAGGCGGGAUGGGAGCAGCUGGAGAGGUGGGAUGGGAUGAUGCUGCCUGGAAAUGUGGGAUGUUCCCAGCUGGAGAGGUGGGAUGGGAGGAUUCUGCCCGGAAAGGCAGGAUGAUCCCAGCUGGAAAAGCAGGAUGGUGCUGCCAGCCGGGAAGGUGGGAUGGUGCCAAUGGCGUCGUGGGAUGGGAUGGUGCCAGCUGGUGAGGCGGGAUGGUGCUGCUGACCGGAAAAAUGGGAUGCUGCUGGCCAGAAAGGUGGGAUUCUCUUGUCCAAAAAAGUGAGAUUCUGGGGACCAUAAAAAUGGGAUUCUGGAGAUCAGAGUUGUGGGAUGCUGAGGAUCAGAAAGGUGGGAUUCUGAGGACCGGAAAAGUGGGACACUGAGGAUGAAAAAGGUGGGAUGCUACGGAGCAAAAAAGUGGGAUGCUGAGGACCAGAAAGGUGGGAUUCUGGGGAUCAGAAAGGUGGGAUUCUCUGGACCAAAAACGUGGGAUUCUGGGGACCAAAAAAGUAGGAUACUGAGGAUGAGAAAGGUGGGAUUCCAGGGAUCAGAAAGGUGGGAUUCUGAGGACCAACAAGGUGGGAUUCUCUGGACCAAAAACGUGGGAUUCUGGGGACCAAAAAAGUAGGAUACUGAGGAUGAGAAAGGUGGGAUUCCAGGGAUCAGAAAGGUGGGAUUCUGAGGACCAACAAGGUGGGAUUCUCUGGACCAAAAACGUGGGAUUCUGGGGACCAAAAAAGUAGGAUACUGAGGAUGAGAAAGGUGGGAUUCCAGGGAUCAGAAAGGUGGGAUGUUGAGGAGCAAAAAAAUGGGAUGCUGAGGACCAACACGGUGGGAUUGUCUGGUCCAAAAAAGUGGGAUACUGAGGAUCAGAAAUGUGGGAUUCCGAGGAUCGGAAAUGUGGGUUGUUGAGGACCAGAAAAGUGGGAUUCUGGGGGCCAGGAAAGUGGGAUUCUGGGGAUCAGAAUUGUGGGAUGCCAAGAACCAAAAAAGUGGGAUGCUGAGGACCAACAUGGUGGGAUUGUCUGGUCCAAAAAAGUGGGAUACUGAGGAUCAGAAAUGUGGGAUUCUGAGGAUC
This is a long non-coding RNA of Corvus hawaiiensis (hawaiian crow), 3036 nucleotides long. RefSeq lists it as uncharacterized. NCBI's taxonomy places the organism in Eukaryota, Metazoa, Chordata, Aves, Passeriformes, Corvidae. The record is from RefSeq and is a predicted model, not a curated record. The transcript has 3 exons.